Molecule: ribosomal RNA, 253 nt
Filed under: uncultured bacterium
Lineage: Bacteria
Description: partial 16S ribosomal RNA
Rfam family: Bacterial small subunit ribosomal RNA
Source: RNAcentral
UACGGGGGGGGCAAGCGUUGUUCGGAAUUACUGGGCGUAAAGGGCUCGUAGGCGGCCAACUAAGUCAUACGUGAAAUCCCCCGGCUUAACCUGGGAACUGCGUCUGAUACUGGGAGGCUUGAGUAUGGGAGAGGGAUGUAGAAUUCCAGGUGUAGCGGUGAAAUGCGUAGAUAUCUGGAGGAAUACCGGUGGCGAAGGCGGCAUCCUGGACCAUUACUGACGCUGAGGCGCGAAAGCUAGGGGAGCAAACGGG